UUCCACAAGUUUUUAAGGCUCUUAACCCACACUUUCACUCCUCUGCUACUAGUCUUCAGUGUUGUUAACAGCAAGAGAAAAUUGGGUUUGUUUAAAAAUCUACUUCUCUGAGGUGGCACAGUUGCGUAGCUGUAGUCCCAGCUACUCAGGAGGCUGAGGUAGUAGGAUUGCUUGAGCCCGGGAGUGUAGUGGCAUGAUCUCGGCUCACUGCAACCUCUGCCUCCCAGGUUCAUGCCAUUCUCCUGCCUCAGCCUCCCGAGUAGCUGGGACUACAGGUGUCUGCCGCCACGCCUGGCUAAUUUUUUUGUAUUUUUAGUAGAGACGGGGUUUCACCAUGUUGGUCAGGAUGGUCUCGAUUUCCUGACCUCGUGAUCCGCCUGUCUCGGCCUCCCAAAGUGCUGGGAUUACAGGCGUGAGCCACCACGCCUGGCCUAUAAGAUACGG
This 444-nucleotide long non-coding RNA is filed under the name Homo sapiens (human). RNAcentral's name for it is "non-protein coding lnc-NT5M-1:2". The record is from RNAcentral. Lineage: Eukaryota; Metazoa; Chordata; Mammalia; Primates; Hominidae.